Molecule: small nuclear RNA, 240 nt
Filed under: Meriones unguiculatus (Mongolian gerbil)
Lineage: Eukaryota; Metazoa; Chordata; Mammalia; Rodentia; Muridae
Description: 7SK RNA (ENSMUGG00000024268.1)
Rfam family: 7SK RNA
About the family: 7SK was discovered as an abundant small nuclear RNA in the mid-70s but a possible function has only recently been suggested. Two independent studies have found that 7SK RNA binds the CDK9/cyclin T complex (known as elongation factor P-TEFb).
Source: RNAcentral
UGAGAUAAGUAAAAUAACUCAUUUUCUUCUCCCCACUCAAUGUGUUUUCCUUUUAAAACACCUGCAUGCUUGGUCAAAGAAGAAGACCUUCCCUGAUAGUGGAAGUCCAUUUUUGGGCAAGGGCUUGUGUGUAGCUGGGCUCCCCUGCUAGAAGACUCUAUAGAAGGUUAAGUUCAGCACUCUCACCGUUCUACAGAGAUGAAGACUCAGCCUAACCUAAGCUGAACUCACAGUCUUCUU